GAUAUGUGGAAAGAUUUUGACUCCCGUGUACUGCGGUAUAAGGUACUUCCACCAUUAUGUGCAGAACUUAGGAAUAUGGUGAUGCAGCCAAUGAUUCUUCCAAUGGUUCUCACAAUAGCAGAGUCUCAGGAUAAAAAUGAUUUUGAGCUAUCAACACUUCCAGCUCUCAUUCCUGUCCUGAAUACUGCUGCUGGCGAGACACUACUGCUGCUUGUAAAACGUGCUGAAAUCAUUAUCAACAAGACGACUCAGGAGAACUUAAUAUCCCAUGUCUUGCCAUUGCUCGUUCGAGCUUAUGAUGAUACUGAUCCGCGCAUUCAAGAGGAAGUCCUGAAAAAAUCUUCAUCUCUUGCUAAGCAACUUGAUGUUCAGCUAGUGAAACAUUCAAUUUUGCCUCGUGUCCAUGGAUUAGCACUAAAAACAACCGUUGCUGCGGUAAGAGUCAAUGCUCUGCCACAAAUUCUAGGGGGAUCUUGUUCACAAACUAGAUAAACAUGCUGUUCUGGAAAUCUUGCAAACACUUCAACGUUGUACAGCUGUUGACCGUUCUGCUCCUACCCUUAUGUGUACCCUUGGGGUUGCAAAUUCAAUUUUUAAGCAGUAUGGAGUAGAAUUUGU
RNAcentral lists this unclassified non-coding RNA (618 nucleotides) under Hevea brasiliensis (rubber tree). The record is from RNAcentral. Lineage: Eukaryota; Viridiplantae; Streptophyta; Magnoliopsida; Malpighiales; Euphorbiaceae.